UACGAAGGGGGCUAGCGUUGUUCGGAUUUACUGGGCGUAAAGCGCACGUAGGCGGCUUUGUAAAGUUAGAGGUGAAAGCCCAGGGGCUUACCCACCGGAAUUGCCUUUAAGACUGCAUCGCUAGAAUUCGUGGAGAGGUGAGUGGAAUUCCGAGUGUAGAGGUGAAAUUCGUAGAUAUUCGGAAGAACACCAGUGGCGAAGGCG
This 204-nucleotide ribosomal RNA is filed under the name uncultured bacterium. RNAcentral describes it as "partial 16S ribosomal RNA". It matches the Rfam family "Bacterial small subunit ribosomal RNA", at positions 524 to 723 of the family's 1533-position model. The record is from RNAcentral.